Molecule: long non-coding RNA, 1096 nt
Organism: Oncorhynchus tshawytscha (Chinook salmon)
Lineage: Eukaryota; Metazoa; Chordata; Actinopteri; Salmoniformes; Salmonidae
Source: Ensembl
CGAGCGAUGUGAAGGGCACGCACGCGCGCACAGACACACCUAUGCAAAUUUUUAUUUAUCGAGACAAGAGACCGGACUACGAGAGAGGGCAGAAUUGUUUUUGCUGACUGAAGACAGUUUUAGGAUGAAUGCCUACAAUAUCAUCUGUGAAAUGGACAAACUACACGUAACUAAGGAAUAUGUGGAUGAGGUAUGCAUGUACCCCUUUGAAGACAAAGGUAAAACAAGUUUCAGGUUGGAUAUUCGAUGGAUAUUCACCUGCAGUUUUCCUUACGUCCACCUACAGCAGUUAGGGACCGUCAACAUAGUGAUAAAUCACAUUUUUGACAUUUCAAUAGCUCUUUAACCAUUACUCCUAAAACUUUCAAAACUGGUUCUAGCUAAUUUGAUGACAUAGACACACAUUGCGCACACUUUUUUUUGUAGGUUUACAUCUCGCACUAUUUUAAAUUCAUUAUUUACAUUUUUGAAUUUCAAUAGCUCUUUGGUCAUGUGACUUACUGACUUCAAACAAGGUUCAGAAUGUACACUCAGUGGCCCUACGCAAUGCACACCCUUUAGUUUGUCCAUUUUAAACUCACACGUUUUUACAUGAAUUUUUCUAACUUUCAAAUGUCAAUAGCUCCUUGGUCAUGUGACCUACUGACUUCAAACAAGGUUCAGAAUUGUCCAUUUUAAUCUCACCAGAUUUUACAUUAAUUUGCCUGCUCUGCCCCCCUGAAGGACAGUGUCACUCACACACCUAUUCACUUGGGCCUUCUCCCUGGGGCCUUUCUGACCUCCAGGCAGGCCCCCAUUGACCUGGUGACCUCUGACUCCUGACCUCUAGGCCUACACUCCCUGCCCGCCUGCCUGCCCUGGGCCUGAGAGUGUAUAGCUUACUCCCUGGAACUACAGACCUCCAUACCUACUCUCCCUACCCGGUCAACACCCCCUCUUGGUCUUAGAGUAUAGCUUACUCCCUGGAAUUACUAAGACAUCUAUAGUCCCGCUGUCAGGAACCACGUGCACCUGGUAACCCGUAACAGGCUCUGUGCAUCUGGUAACCCGUAACAGGCUCUGUGUACCUGGUAACCCAUAACAGGCUCUGUGGUUC